CCCCCACACGCCCCCCGGCACCCCACGCCCCCCCGGCGGGCCCGCCCACCGACCGGACAAACCCAAACCCCCCGCAGCCGAAAUCAGCGCCUGAAAAAACUCAAUAGUUACAACUCUCAACAACGGAUCUCUUGGUUCUGGCAUCGAUGAAAAACGCAGCGAAAUGCGAUAAGUUGUGUGAAUUGGGGACUUAAUUGAAUCAUCAAAUCUUUGAACGCACAUUGCUCCCCUUGGUAUUCCAUGGGGCAUGCUUGUUCGAGCGUCAUUUGUACCCUCAAGCUCUGCUUGGUGUUGGGUGAUUUUCUCCUGUUGACUCUCCUUAAAACACUUGGUUGCCUGCGUAUUGAUUAAGGAGCGCAGUACAUCUCGCGCUUUGCACUCAUAACGACUACGUCCAAAAGUACAUUUUUACACGCUUGACCUCGGAUCAGGUAAGGGAUACCCGCUGAACUUAA
This 455-nucleotide ribosomal RNA is filed under the name Curvularia kusanoi. Its description in RNAcentral is "eukaryotic LSU rRNA". The stretch from base 112 to 265 matches the Rfam family "5.8S ribosomal RNA". The record is from RNAcentral. Lineage: Eukaryota; Fungi; Ascomycota; Dothideomycetes; Pleosporales; Pleosporaceae.